This 554-nucleotide ribosomal RNA is filed under the name Rhizophagus irregularis. RNAcentral's name for it is "SSU rRNA". It matches the Rfam family "Eukaryotic small subunit ribosomal RNA", at positions 557 to 1112 of the family's 1831-position model. Lineage: Eukaryota; Fungi; Glomeromycota; Glomeromycetes; Glomerales; Glomeraceae. The record is from RNAcentral.
AAGUCUGGUGCCAGCAGCCGCGGUAAUUCCAGCUCCAAUAGCGUAUAUUAAAGUUGUUGCAGUUAAAAAGCUCGUAGUUGAAUUUCGGGGUUAGUAGGUUGGUCAUGCCUCUGGUAUGUACUGGUCUCACUGAUUCCUCCUUCCUUAUGAACCGUAAUGCCAUUAAUUUGGUGUUGCGGGGAAUUUGGACUGUUACUUUGAAAAAAUUAGAGUGUUUAAAGCAAGCUAACGCUUGAAUACAUUAGCAUGGAAUAAUGAGAUAGGACGUUCGAUCUUAUUUUGUUGGUUUCUAGGAUUGACGUAAUGAUUAAUAGGGAUAGUUGGGGGCAUUAGUAUUCAAUUGUCAGAGGUGAAAUUCUUGGAUUUAUUGAAGACUAACUACUGCGAAAGCAUUUGCCAAGGAUGUUUUCAUUAAUCAAGAACGAAAGUUAGGGGAUCGAAGACGAUCAGAUACCGUCGUAGUCUUAACCAUAAACUAUGCCGACUAGGGAUCGGAUGAUGUUAAUUUUUUAAUGACUCAUUCGGCGCCUUACGGGAAACCAAAGUGUUUGGGU